CGGGGCGUGGCGCAGCCCGGUAGCGCACUCGCUUGGGGUGCGAGUGGUCGUGGGUUCAAAUCCCGCCGCCCCGACCA
This 77-nucleotide transfer RNA is filed under the name Nitrospira sp. RNAcentral's name for it is "tRNA-Pro". It matches the Rfam family "tRNA". From Rfam's summary of the family: Transfer RNA (tRNA) molecules are approximately 80 nucleotides in length. Their secondary structure includes four short double-helical elements and three loops (D, anti-codon, and T loops). Further hydrogen bonds mediate the characteristic L-shaped molecular structure. tRNAs have two regions of fundamental functional importance: the anti-codon, which is responsible for specific mRNA codon recognition, and the 3' end, to which the tRNAs corresponding amino acid is attached (by aminoacyl-tRNA synthetases). tRNAs cope with the degeneracy of the genetic code in two manners: having more than one tRNA (with a specific anti-codon) for a particular amino acid; and 'wobble' base-pairing, i.e. permitting non-standard base-pairing at the 3rd anti-codon position. Lineage: Bacteria; Pseudomonadati; Nitrospirota; Nitrospiria; Nitrospirales; Nitrospiraceae. RNAcentral also lists the same sequence under 3 other names. The record is from RNAcentral.